Ictalurus punctatus (channel catfish) is the source of this 4196-nucleotide long non-coding RNA. NCBI's taxonomy places the organism in Eukaryota, Metazoa, Chordata, Actinopteri, Siluriformes, Ictaluridae. The record is from Ensembl.
GUAAAGCCAACCAACUGCAUCUUUUCGAACUGUUGCUGCUCAUUCUGCGUCACAUGAGAGCAUAAUAGUCUUGGAGGAAAGCACUAUCUGCUCCCUGCCACAUACAUGAGCUCACAGACCAUCACGAUUCACCAGUGUCACUGUGAUUGAUGGGGGUUGUACAGUAAUGCUGUCCCUUCCACCCAGAGCACACAGGCAAUACUGCUCCCUUGACCCUGGGCUUGGUCAACUAUGGCAUUGGUGGGAUUUGUACUCCCAAUCUCCUGACUCAUUAGCUUAUUUUUGCUCUAUUUUUCCCCUAGUGGAAUAACAGAGACUAGCUCUUUUUUCAUAUUUCAGUUCAAUUAUGGUCCACAAGACCAUUUUAAUUCAGCACAUGCAUUCUAAAUUCACUUGGUGGGCUGGAUUAGAACAUUCAUUGGCCCAGUCACAACCCAAAUGCCGAAUAUCUUUGGCACCGUUACUUUAAAUGUUUAAAAUAGCAUAUCUGUUAGAAAAAAUCUUAGUCAAUAAGUAUGUGAAGUUGCCAUAGAGACAAACCCAUAGUAUACACUAUGGAGAUACCAUCAAAGAUGCAGGGGUUGAGAACUUGUAAGAUAUCUAAUAUUUGAUUAAUGCUACUGUGGUUGGGGAUAAGGUGCAAUGUAUAUGAUAAUAUUUUUAGUGUGUUGUCUGAAAAUUUAACAUAGACACACUUUUUUUUUAUUUGACAUAGUUCCAUUCUUUACAUACAUUUAUUCUUUCUCAUAUAUAAAAAGAAAACCUACAAACAAAAAAAAAUCUAUUUAAUAAUUUGAUUGAUUUUGACUACUACAGAUGUUUAAAUUCUGUCAAAUGGGCAUGUUAGACUGUUGGACAUUAUGCAAAUGAAGCUGCGCUGAGAUACUUAAAACCCUACUCUCAACCCCUCCUCCACACCCCAUUGCCUUUGCAACCCUUUAUCCUCAGCACUGCAAUGACUUCUGGGAAAUGCGUUCACAGAAAAGAAAUUCAAAAAUAUAAAAAUUUGAAGGACUGCAUUUCCCAUGCUGCAUUGCAAACAAAUUUUGUUAAGUUGUGAAUGCUGCUCUUGUUUUCUAACCUCAUGACUAUGUCACUUUCAUACCGCACGGGGACCAAUCAGAAUCAUCAGAGGGACUUAUUUAUGUACAUAUGCAUACAUGUUUAAGCGAAGGGACCUAAUUUUCAGUGGAAAUAGGCCAAAGCUUAAAAAAAAACCUCCAUACUACUUAUGUCAUAAUUUAUGUGAUGUCAGUCUUACCAGAUAAUGGUUUUUAAUUGGCUGGACACCUCAGUGAUUUUCAGAACAAUUGGAGGUGUAACACUUAGAUCUCGUAUUCCUGUCAUGGAAAUUCAGUUCGAUGAUGUAGUGCACAAAGCUAUUUCACACUAUGACGCUGAGCUCCCUUUUGCUUGUCUCGUGCCCCCAUGUUAAUUUCAAACAUGUCACCAAAUUCAGGCCUCACACAAAAAGGCACUGUAUAAAAAAAAAGAAGCAGAAGACAAUCCUGGAGAAGUUGAUUUAAACAGUGUAAAGUUACAUGAGCUGUGUGCCUCAAGCCUUUAAGUGGUAUAGCAACCUUCCAAGUGUUGUAGCCAUAACCACAAAAUUACGAUGAACCAGAAAACUAUUCCUACUGGGGGUGUCAGAUAAGGGGAGCAAUGCAUUUCCACUAGUUAACUGUACCCACUUAUUUUAAUCUAAUGUUUAUGUGUAUUUUAUAUUCUUUUUAUUCUUUUAGAUUAUUUUCAUUACUUUAUAUGUCUGCAAGGUUUAUAAAGUUCUUUAUUUAUGCCUCUAAAGGGAACUGUCACCUUGCAUAGAAACAAAACCAAACUUUAGACAAUUUGGAGAUCCACAGGAGAAUAAUCUGAUAAAGGCUGGACAGGAAUGAUCAUUUGGGUUCACAUCAGAUUACAUCUUAAUUUAAAUUAAGAUGAAAUAUUGUAGCACUUUAUGGCUUGGUUAAUUUAAUAAAUGUCUUAAAUCUGGAAUGAUAACAAAUUAUAACAUUGGGGGAAAAAAAAGUAUAUGUUACUAUAUUCAGGCCAUAUGUUUAGAGUAAUUUAUUUAUUUGAUGAACAUUUAUUUAACACAGAGAAGGCGAAAUGUCCUUAUUUCUGAAAGACACACUUGUUUCGUUGAGACCUGCAUCCAAACAUAACAUGGACUCAGUCCAUUCUUAGAUGCUGUGAGGAACAAUUUGAUGUGGGAAUGAGUUUGAUUUCCCAUGAGUACUUAAAAAGGAGUGUAAGGUAGAGUGGUUCAAACACACGACCAUGCUAGUAUGUCCGCUUGCUCUACAUUAUAGUUUUGUUUUGUUCUGUUUUCUUUAGUAAGAUUUCGUGUGAAAUGACUUUAGUAAUGUGUUUAUGUUCAUAUUUGUUUGAAAACAAGGUCUGCGAGCUGUGUAACUCUUCACACGGAAAAAUGCAAGACACAUAUAAACACAAACAUGCUCACAAACACACAGUGAAAAAUAAAAUGUUGGAGGUAAAAAAGAAAAAGAAAAAAGAAAUACCAUGACUUAUUUUUUUAUAAGUGCAGCAGAGGUCUGCAAUCAAAAUGUGGUAACAACCAUUGCCUGUGUUCUUUUCAUUUGUGGUGCUUUGUAAGAUUAUUGUUAUUGUUAUUACUAUGAUUAUUGUAUUUGAUUUGUUUCUACUCCUGUACUUGCCUGGAAACUCUAGGCUGAAGCCUGGUUUCUCUUUGUAUACCAAUGUGAAGCUUUGUAUUAUUUCUUUCUGGUUCUGACUCAGUGGAAGUGUGUGAUGUUUACAUGUACAGAGGAAUAGAUUCUUUUUUUGUUGUUGAUUUUUUAUUUUUAUUUUUUAUUUAAUUUUUUGUUGUCGUUGUUGUUGUUGUUGUUGAAGACCCACAUAUCCAGCCUCAGUUUGUGACAUUAAGUUGUUUCUUUAAUCUUGUGCAUGGAGGGGCAAUGUUAUGUUAGAAAGUUAUAGAGACUUGGUUAAACCACUGUUAAGGUCCUUGCACACAUAUAAUGCAUAAAGUGAAUCUUUGUGACUGUCAUUUGUCCAUGGUGGUUCAUGUUAUUGUCCCAGAACAUGAGAAGACUUUCAUUGUGCUUUUGUUCCUCAGACAUGAGUCUAAUACAACUGUUAUAGCAGCCUGUUUUCAUUUGCAGGUGUGUGUUACCUCUCUGUUAAACACUGUUCAGUUUUUUGCACUUGAGAAGUGUGUUACUUCCUCAGCAUUAGUUCAGAACGAAUCAGGGUUGGGAUCCAUGUGCAAGGGCCUUGAGAGGCGACAUUUCAGUCACUGAUUGUGGAUGAAGGUGCUGGAUCGGAAAAAAAAAAGCAGAGAGAGAGAGCUUCUUAUCAGCUCAAAGUGCAACACCAAUUGUCCUCCCCAUAAUGUUACACAAUGGAUCUGGUUAAUGGUUAAUGAGAUUCAAAUGAUUUUUUUAUUACUACUUUCACAAAGACUUGAAACAAAUAUUUUACAAGUAAAGCCAGUGAUAUAGGGGAAAGCGUAGCCUCCCUCCAACUGGUCCAGUUAACUAAAGAUUUCCAAUGUGAUUAAAGCCUGCUAUGUUUGAAUUUGCACUUUGACCUUUUGUAGAAGCUUCUCAGUGAUUUUAAAAGCCAUUCCCCUCAUGUUGUUUGCCCAUAUGGGGAACAUAGGAACCUCAGGAACUGUUGAAUCUCUGAGUUUUUUUGUUUUGUUUUGUUUUGUUUUUUAAAUCCAGGCCAAUAUGUCCUGACUGACCAGUCCUCAUGCUCUCUCUCAGCUACCACAUCAUUUAUAUCGAAUUUGCUAUAUAUCCUUUUUAUAUUUAUUAUUGUGAUUUAAAAGUGAAUCUUCUUUUCAGUACAUGUGGCUGAAUAUUUUAAUUCUUUAGAAAAGUGUUGAUAAAUAUAAAUAUAUAUCUGAAUAUAUGUGAAGCAACUAAAAGAUGGAAAACAUGGCAGGUAAUUCCAUUUAUGUUUGUUUCAUGCAAAAACAAAGAAGAUGAAGAAAAAAAAAAGACUCGGGUGGGAGAGUUUCCCACCUUUUACAUAUCACUUUGAUGAGAGACUCAUUAUUGUCUGAAAAAGACUCUUUUUACAUUUUCAAUGUGGUGUCGAUGUUACAGUCUGAAAAACUGUUGGGUUUUCCACCUGCUGCAAAGUUGCUAGUUCCUUUCUUUCAGAGGUGUGUGUCACUGAGUUGCUGAAUAAAACAGUGAGCUGCA